RNAcentral lists this small nuclear RNA (99 nucleotides) under Zalophus californianus (California sea lion). The record is from RNAcentral. Lineage: Eukaryota; Metazoa; Chordata; Mammalia; Carnivora; Otariidae.
UUGUUUCGGCAGCACACAGACUAAAAUUGGAACAAUACAGAGAUUAGCAUGGCUCUGCACAAGGAUGACACACAAAUUCAUGAAGCAUUCCAUAUUUUA